Molecule: ribosomal RNA, 274 nt
Filed under: uncultured bacterium
Lineage: Bacteria
Description: partial 16S ribosomal RNA
Rfam family: Bacterial small subunit ribosomal RNA
Source: RNAcentral
AUACGGAGGGUGCGAGCGUUAAUCGGAAUUACUGGGCGUAAAGCGUACGUAGGCGGUUGGUUAAGUUAGAUGUGAAAGCCCCGGGCUUAACCUGGGAACUGCAUUUAAAACUGGCGAACUAGAGUUGAGUAGAGGGGAGUGGAAUUUCAGGUGUAGCGGUGAAAUGCGUAGAGGUCUGAAGGAACACCAGUGGCGAAGGCGACUCCCUGGACUCGAACUGACGCUGAGGUACGAAAGCGUGGGUAGCAAACGGGAUUAGAAACCCUUGUAGUCC